GAAUUUUAUAUAAAUUUUAUAUUAUAUUAAAAUUUAUUAAAUAUAAAAAAUUUUUUAAAUAGUUUAAAGUUUAUAUUUGAUUGGGAGGAUAUUUAAAUUAAAAGAACUUUAAAAUAAUAGAACAUUAAUUUAUGAAUAGUAAUUUGGGAUUAAAAUUUUGAGAAAAAAUUUUAUAAAAAAAUUAAUUACCUUAGGGAUAACAGCGUAAUAUUUUUAUAAAGAUCUUAUUGAUAAUAAUGAUUGC
Molecule: ribosomal RNA, 244 nt
Filed under: Camponotus coruscus
Lineage: Eukaryota; Metazoa; Arthropoda; Insecta; Hymenoptera; Formicidae
Also listed under: 1 other name
Description: partial large subunit ribosomal RNA
Source: RNAcentral